RNAcentral lists this ribosomal RNA (497 nucleotides) under uncultured bacterium. RNAcentral's name for it is "bacterial SSU rRNA". It matches the Rfam family "Bacterial small subunit ribosomal RNA", at positions 355 to 868 of the family's 1533-position model. The record is from RNAcentral.
UAACGAAUCUUCCGCAAUGCACGAAAGUGUGACGGAGCGACGCCGCGUGUGGGACGAAGUCCUUCGGGAUGUAAACCACUGUCAGGGGUUACCAAGUUCUGAGGAGCCCCAGAGGAAGGCACGGCUAACUCUGUGCCAGCAGCCGCGGUAAGACAGAGGUGCCAAGCGUUAGGCGGAAUCACUGGGCUUAAAGCGUGUGUAGGCGGAUUGGUAAGUACCUUGUGAAAUCCCACGGCUCAACCGUGGAACUGCUCGGUAUACUGCCUGUCUUGAGCCACUUAGGGGCUGUCGGAACAAACGGUGGAGCGGUGAAAUGCGUAGAUAUCGUUUGGAGCGCCAACGGUGAAAACAGACAGCUGGGAGUGUGCUGACGCUGAGACACGAAAGCCAGGGGAGCGAACGGGAUUAGAUACCCCGGUAGUCCUGGCCCUAAACGAUGUCGACUAGAUCGUGGCGGCUCUGACGCCGUCACGGUCGAAGCAAAAGUGCUAAGUCCG